Streptomyces sp. WAC00263 is the source of this 174-nucleotide non-coding RNA. NCBI's taxonomy places the organism in Bacteria, Bacillati, Actinomycetota, Actinomycetes, Kitasatosporales, Streptomycetaceae. The record is from Rfam.
AGUUGAGUUAGAGGUUGCAAUAUUAAAGAGUCGCUUGUCAGAAGUCUUAUGGGACGUAUGUUGAACAAGUUAAAGGUAAUAUUGCCGAAACAAAUGAUAACCAUAAUUAUGAUUUGUUGGGACAGUUGUCGAAAGAAACUGUACUGUCACAGAAUGUGAUGUGCUACCUUAUAU